This 210-nucleotide transfer-messenger RNA is filed under the name Paracoccus denitrificans PD1222. RNAcentral's name for it is "transfer-messenger RNA Parac_denit_PD1222". It matches the Rfam family "Alphaproteobacteria transfer-messenger RNA", at positions 148 to 355 of the family's 355-position model. From Rfam's summary of the family: Bacterial tmRNA, also known as 10Sa RNA or SsrA, is named for its dual tRNA and mRNA-like properties. Its role is to liberate the mRNA from a stalled ribosome. The record is from RNAcentral. Lineage: Bacteria; Pseudomonadati; Pseudomonadota; Alphaproteobacteria; Rhodobacterales; Paracoccaceae.
GGGGCCGAAACAGGAUCGACGAACGUCUAAAGCUGUUUGCUUUGUCUCGGUGAGCUACCACCGUCAUCGGUGCAAAAUGUACAGUUGCCAACGACAACCGUGCUCCGGUGGCUCUGGCUGCGUAAGCAGCUCGGGUAACCGAAACUUAAGCCCUUCCGCCUAGCAGCGUAAGGCGGGGCCCGCAGGAGCCUGGCAACAGAAUCCUGCACC